GUUUUAUUCCCUUUGUUGAAAAAAUAUACAAAUCUAUUCGUAAACCAACAUCACAAACGAUUUAUUUGCGGAAAAUAGAUAAAGUUUUUAGUACAUUUAGCUUUAGCUUCAUUCAAAGACAUUUCAAGAACUCGCAAAUUUACGUUAAUCAGAAAAACAUAGUGUCUCGAUAAACAUUGAAUUUCUAGAGAUAUUAUUGUUGAUCAUUGUAAGGUUUAUGUUACAAGGUUACCCAUAAAGGAUGAGACAUUAAACACGUUUCAAGACGUUUCCAAGGUUGAACUUAGUCUUUAUAUGGCAUUUAUUGUGAUUGGGAUAAAGAAAGAAACAAUUAUGGAGUUACUGGGAAUCAUAUAUAUAUUAGAAAUUUCCAUACAAUCCUCCCUAAAGUCUCAUCCUUUGUGGGUGAGAUGGUAUUAUGAGAGAGCCUAAAUAAAUGCCGUUUGAUUGAAUUCGUCACUUAUGUUCCAUAAUUUAAGUGGCAUCCUGUUUAAACCUCACAUUCACAAGCAUCUGUAAUGGAAAAUUUAAAUUGCUGUGAUGAAUAUGAUAAAUCUUGUCGAUAUAUAAUAUUUAUAAUAUAAUCCCUCCUUGUACAUAUUUCUUUCAGGAAUAUUUUCCAUUUCAUGAAAACUAAGAAUACUAAAACAUGCACAAUUUUACAGUGGUAACCAUAAUACUUUAUGGUUGUCGUCCUUUAUCUUUCUUUUAAUCAUGAGAAAUAGAUAAGUUCCAAAUUACAAAAUUUUAAGCAACAUUUCCAAGUAUAGAGAAAAGAAGACUUCAAUAAAUCCACUGUUUUAAACCUCUCUUGUUCUGGGCCAUCUUAAAGAUAAUAAUUAAAUGAUAAAAUGAAAAGGCCUCGGUUUUUUUGUUAAAGAAUUUAUAUCUAAUCUCGAGUUAAAGAUGUAAUGUAAUAUUGUAACAGAUUUGUUUAUGUCACACUCGUCUAUUUUACUCAACGCUGGUAAUUAAUCUAUGUUUGUUAGUGGAAAUCUUUAUUUAAAGUCAAUAUAGAUAUUUACCACAUUUAAUCUCAUUUAUGAUAAUAAUCGGAGCUUAAAAUACAUGGUUGUAAACAAAGGGAAAGAAAAUGGAAGAAAAUGGAAGAAAUGCAAACACUAUAAGAAGGAAUUAAAGAGAAUGAAUAAAGAAAUGGACGAGGACUUGUAUUUAAAAUGAAGGAGUUCCUUAUCCGAAACCUGCAGUUGAUAGCGGGUAUUAUCUGCUCCUUCUCCUCCCUGAAGUGUAGGUUCAGGAACACCUCGGACUGGAGGGACUCGGUUAACUAUAGGAUCUAAGGGAGUCCAGUACAGACAAGGCAAAAGGAACUCAACGAAGGACUGGCUCCGAUCCUGAAAGAUAAAUGGCAAAGAUGACGUCCUAAACAUUCCGUAGAUAUUAGACCAUCACUGUCCAGUACAGACCUAUUAUCAGCAAGCAAGAAAGUUGUUGUUGUUGUUAUUGUUGUUGUUCUGGUUGUUAUUGAUAUUCGCAACAACAUUUGCGACAACAUUAAACACGGACAUCACUAGAACAAGAAUGUUGAUAACAGAGAACUCAUGAAAGAAAGCGUCUCGACUCUCGUGGAUAUCUACAGCUAGAAAGACUAGAGAGAAAAUUGCUUAACGGAAGUGUUUCUUGCCUCAAACUCAUAUUUCCUC
This 1664-nucleotide long non-coding RNA is filed under the name Eurytemora carolleeae. RNAcentral describes it as "uncharacterized LOC111695855". Lineage: Eukaryota; Metazoa; Arthropoda; Copepoda; Calanoida; Temoridae. The record is from RNAcentral.